UAGACUGCCGACCAUGCUGGUUCUCUGAUUAUGUCAGGGAUCAAAAGGGAACCCGGUGUGAAUCCGGGGCUGCCCCGCAGCGGUAAGCGAGAACGACUCCACCUUCGCACUGACUCUCGGGAGUUGGGAAGCGGUGGAGAGUAGGGAAUCGGCAACUAGCCGACAUGCUCGCAAGCCCGAAGACCUGCCAGCGUCUGACAUUGGAG
This 206-nucleotide non-coding RNA is filed under the name Nitrospira japonica. The record is from RNAcentral. Lineage: Bacteria; Pseudomonadati; Nitrospirota; Nitrospiria; Nitrospirales; Nitrospiraceae.